Molecule: ribosomal RNA, 256 nt
Filed under: uncultured bacterium
Lineage: Bacteria
Description: partial 16S ribosomal RNA
Rfam family: Bacterial small subunit ribosomal RNA
Source: RNAcentral
UACGUAGGGUGCAAGCGUUAAUCGGAAUUACUGGGCGUAAAGCGUGCGCAGGCGGUGAUGUAAGACAGUUGUGAAAUCCCCGGGCUCAACCUGGGAACUGCAUCUGUGACUGCAUGGCUAGAGUGUGUCAGAGGGGGGGUAGAAUUCCACGUGUAGCAGUGAAAUGCGUAGAUAUGUGGAGGAAUACCGAUGGCGAAGGCAGCCCCCCUGGGAUAACACUGACGCUCAUGCACGAAAGCGUGGGGGAGCAAACAGG